This 549-nucleotide ribosomal RNA is filed under the name uncultured Glomus. RNAcentral describes it as "partial 18S ribosomal RNA". The record is from RNAcentral. Lineage: Eukaryota; Fungi; Glomeromycota; Glomeromycetes; Glomerales; Glomeraceae.
GUUUCCCGUAAGGCGCCGAAUGAGUCAUUAAAAAAUUAACAUCAUCCGAUCCCUAGUCGGCAUAGUUUAUGGUUAAGACUACGACGGUAUCUGAUCGUCUUCGAUCCCCUAACUUUCGUUCUUGAUUAAUGAAAACAUCCUUGGCAAAUGCUUUCGCAGUAGUUAGUCUUCAAUAAAUCCAAGAAUUUCACCUCUGACAAUUGAAUACUAAUGCCCCCAACUAUCCCUAUUAAUCAUUACGUCAAUCUUAGAAACCAACAAAAUAAGAUCGAACGUCCUAUUUCAUUAUUCCAUGCUAAUGUAUUCAAGCGUUAGCCUGCUUUAAACACUCUAAUUUUUUCAAAGUAACAGUCCAGAUUCCUCGCAACACCAAAUUAAUGGCAUUACGGCUCAUCAGGAAGGAGGAAUCAGUGAGACCAGUACAUACCAGUGGCAUGACCAAUCUACUGACCCCGAAAUUCAACUACGAGCUUUUUAACUGCAACAACUUUAAUAUACGCUAUUGGAGCUGGAAUUACCGCGGCUGCUGGCACCAGACUUGCCCUCCAA